Molecule: small nuclear RNA, 104 nt
Organism: Hypanus sabinus (Atlantic stingray)
Lineage: Eukaryota; Metazoa; Chordata; Chondrichthyes; Myliobatiformes; Dasyatidae
Source: RefSeq, a predicted model, not a curated record
UUUGGCAACGUAUAUAGGAUACUAAAAUUGGAAUGAUACAGAGAAGAUUAGCAUGGCCCCUGUACAAGGGUGACAUGCAAAUUUGUGAAGCACUCCAUGUUUCU